UCUAUCUACCCAUCUGUCCUGCCACAAAACAGAUCAUUCUCAACAGCAGUGGAAAUAGAAUCAGCUCCAUUGCCUGGGAAUCAUUCUUGUCAGGAGUGCUUUCGUUCUAACCUAGGUAAAGGAUCCAAACAAGCAGACUACACACAGAAAGAUGACUUCAUUUCUUCACCGAGUGUUUCGUGAGUGUCUGCUGCAUGCUGGACACUAGCAAAGGCAGAAGGAAUUCAACCACAACUGAAAUGAACACCGGGUAUCCAAGGGCAGGAGGAAAAUGCUGGAGAAAGGACCUCAAGUCAAGUGAUGGAUGGCUUCAAGGAAGGCACAACAGAGAGCUGUUGGGGUCCAGGAGAAGAAAUCUGCAGUACAAGUAUUAUCAUGUCAUUUCACUAAUGGACAAGUACAAGUUUGGGAUCACCGUCCUCCUGCCUGUUAAAGUGUGUCCUCUCAG
This 448-nucleotide long non-coding RNA is filed under the name Homo sapiens (human). Its description in RNAcentral is "non-protein coding lnc-TMEM114-3:2". Lineage: Eukaryota; Metazoa; Chordata; Mammalia; Primates; Hominidae. The record is from RNAcentral.